Molecule: long non-coding RNA, 419 nt
Organism: Neogale vison (American mink)
Lineage: Eukaryota; Metazoa; Chordata; Mammalia; Carnivora; Mustelidae
Exons: 3
Source: RefSeq, a predicted model, not a curated record
GAAAUCAAUCCAAAUCUAUCUUUGUCCUCAGAAUCUGGGAAGCCUGGGUUUUAUCACUGGCUGGUCACAGAUGCACUGAAAAUGGGUAACUGUGCAUACACCAGGCUUGUUUUCUCUGAAGACUGAAAGAAAUCUGGAGGCGUUAAUCCUCACAUCCCUCAUGGUGGAAGACGGAAGAAGGAAGCCAGAUCUGAGCUAGCCUGGAAGGAAGAGAUACCUUUUGCCCUAUUCUCCGCUACUGGAAUGCCCUCCACACUCUUUUCUCCUGCUCUCCAAAUCCUAGGUGUGAGAGUCUGCGUCCGGCCCCUCCCGCCGUGUUUGAGGAAGCAAAGCACAGUCCGUCUGGGGAGAUGAAGCCACCCAAGAGUGAAGCGUGAAGCUCGUGGGCAGAGACCGGCCACCCCCAUGAACCACCGUGG